AGCCGAAUGGCAACCUUCUAUGUGCUACCGCACUUAUCUGGUGACGAACCAUUUUAGGCAAAUUAAAAUCCUGGCCAAAAUGAAAAUUGCCCAAUAAAAAUACCACAAAAUUCCAGAGUAGGAUUAUAGCAAGCUACGGUCACAUAUGAUUUGCAGACUUCCGUUCUCUUUUUGUGAAGGCGUGAUCGAGUGCAGUUCAAUAUUGUGCAAAAUCCAUAUUUAAAAAUCCACGAGCAUCGUGUGGUUCGGAUUAUAGUUUUUCAAGGCAAAUACUGCCAAGUGAUAGUUUACCUUUAACUGCGUCGCUGCCGGUCCCACGUUUGGAGAUAGGAGUUUUAGUGGCUGCGUCGCCAAGGCGAUAGAUUUACAACUGCUGGCAUCAGGAGCACCCACCGUGUGCAGUGGAAGGCUGGGCUUGACCUCUUCUGCUGCCGACAGAUCACAGGUCAACCCACCCCAGAGUUGGCGUUCUUUUUUUUUCUUCAUCGCCGCACGCAGGAAGCAGAUCGCCGUGCAUCCAUUUAAUGCACAAAUCAGCUUGGUGUCUUCUUCAACCCUGCGCAUUCCAAUAAUAUUUGGGCACAACACGAACCCCAGGCUGGCCUUGUCGCUGGGUAUGCUGCGAACCCGAAGCAGCCGCAACACGAAUGAUCGUGUUCAGUAUUAACUUAACUUGUGGGAGAUCUGACAAGUUUAUAUAUGUGAUUCUCCCGAUUUAUAGUAAUACCUACAGCAAAUCAUCAAACGUCAUCAGGCCUGCUGACAUCGAUGGAAAGUGCGUGAGUACAGAACAAAAUAAUAAAACACACAAACAUAUAUAUAAAGAAAGUCAGAUAUUCCUAAAUAGUACUCUUAAAAUACCUUGCCUUAAUUAAUCCUGAUUUGAAGAAGUUUAUAGAUUAAAUACUCAUUAAUCAUAAAUAAUUCUAAUGUAAAAUAAGUCGAAGGAACAAAAGAAGAAUGUAAGCUUAUAUACCAGUAUUUGAAUUUCUACCUUAAUUACUUUUUCUUUCAUUUUGUCGUUGAUAAUCAAAAUUAAUCCAUAAGAGAUUUUCUUAACAUAAAUAACGUAAUUUUUAGUUUAAGGAUUAGGUUUAGGAAAAUGUAUCUGAAUCUUAUAUUUAUCUUUAAUUAUAUGAGGACCAAAAUGAAUUAAUUUGACUUCUUGUUGGGCACCAAAGGGUAU
This is a long non-coding RNA of Drosophila simulans, 1186 nucleotides long. RefSeq lists it as uncharacterized. The record is from RefSeq and is a predicted model, not a curated record. NCBI's taxonomy places the organism in Eukaryota, Metazoa, Arthropoda, Insecta, Diptera, Drosophilidae. The transcript has 3 exons.